Molecule: microRNA, 24 nt
Filed under: Ananas comosus (pineapple)
Lineage: Eukaryota; Viridiplantae; Streptophyta; Magnoliopsida; Poales; Bromeliaceae
Description: microRNA s0637_c85a
Source: RNAcentral
CACACUGGACCUUUGCAAAUUGCA